This 73-nucleotide non-coding RNA is filed under the name uncultured Prevotella sp. RNAcentral's name for it is "L13-Bacteroidia ribosomal protein leader". It matches the Rfam family "L13-Bacteroidia ribosomal protein leader". Lineage: Bacteria; Pseudomonadati; Bacteroidota; Bacteroidia; Bacteroidales; Prevotellaceae. The record is from RNAcentral.
GGGAUGCACUUAGAACCCCGGGAGAAGCGUGUUAAUAGUUGUACUUUUGGCCAGGCAUGACGGUUAGUGAAUC